CGCUUAAACACCGGUCACCUUACGAUCACCGAAUUUAAGCAAUGUCGAGCCUGGUCAGUACCGAGAUCAGUGACCGCUUGAGAAUAGCAGGAACUGUAA
Acanthosepion pharaonis is the source of this 99-nucleotide non-coding RNA. The record is from the annotation of a GenBank genome assembly. NCBI's taxonomy places the organism in Eukaryota, Metazoa, Mollusca, Cephalopoda, Sepiida, Sepiidae.